AUGGACUUAUGGACUCUGGUGAACUGCGGUAUAUGUGUAUGUACUGAUAAAAAUGCAAUGAUGACCAUUUCUUUGUAGUGAAUUAUGUUUGAUAACUGUGAAAACAUGUGAAUAUUUAUUUAUAAAACGUGUAUAUUCAUUCAAACACAUUGUUCAACCGAAUCAGUCUUCCUAUUAUAACAAAAUGUGGAUGUAUUUUCUGUUAACCAUUUUUAUAACGUUCGAUUUUGUAAUGGCAUCGCCUGGCUUUGAUUUUGGGGAUACUUUAGCAUUAAUUAUUGGAUUGAUUAUUGGAAUCAUUGGAUUUUUCGCUUGCAUGGGUGCAUAUGCACGGAAUCGAAAUCGUUUGGAACCACUGUCAUAAUAGUAUAUAACUUAGGAAUUCAACUGAGAGCUAUUGGAUACAUAAAAAGUUACAGAAGAAAAUGCCUCAAAUCAAUUUACAUAUUUUGAAUAUUACAUAUUUAUCAAAGAGGUUUAAAAUAUUUUAAUAAUAACAGUAACAUUUAUAAUUAUGAACUAUAUUUCUGAUGAAAAUAUAUUAAACUAUUUUUAUACAUUGUUCCACUAAUGUAAUGAAUAUAUUGCAUACAUUUAAAUAAAGAUAAUAAUAAAAUAUAAAUAUCAGUUUAGAUAAUCAUGUAUUAAAAUGAAUAAUAUAAAACAAUUUGAUGUACUUAAAAAUAAACACAAAAUAUAAAUGGUUAUAAGAUAUAGUAUAUGCUGUAUCAUAUUAAAAGAUUACAUAUUGUUGUCUAUAUAAUAUAUUCAUAAAUUUUCAUAAAUGUACAAUGCAUUAAAUAACAUCAGAAGCUGUAUCUUGCAGUUGGUUUCUUAAUUACAGAACAAAAAAUAAUAUUAUCUUGAAUAUGAUCAUUUAAGUCAUUUCAAGUUACAAUUAAAUUUAUAUCAACACAGUUUCAACGUGUCUCUGUCCAUUAUAAUUUCUACACAAAAAAGCAUUUGAAUUGAAAUUUCAUGUUAAUUUGAUAUUGUUGAAUGCUGAUGCAUAUCUAAUCAGUCUUUAUAAAAUCUUUAUAGAGUUCCACGCAACAUAGUUUACAGAAACCUUAAAGCAUGUAUGAACUUAUACACUAUUUAGUACAGGAUAGCUCUUUGAUUAUUCUUGUCUGAAUAUUUUCAUAUUUUUUUUUUCAUGUUUUAUUACAAGCAAAAUAAUUAAUCACUAAUACAUGAUAUUGAAGAACUUAAGUUAAUUUCUUUAUAACAGUUAUAUGUAUUCUUUUCUUUUUUUAACUAUUUUUGCAUGCUUUAAUGAGUGAGUCUAAUUUCUAUAUAAUUUUUCCAGUAAUCUGUAGAUAAAUUUAAAAAUUCUGUUUCCUGAGACAAGAUUUUGUUUUUUGUGUUUAAACAUGAAAAACAAGACAUUGAAUAUUUCAUCAAAGAAUUCAUUAGAUAA
Long non-coding RNA from Osmia lignaria (orchard mason bee), 1420 nucleotides. RefSeq lists it as uncharacterized. The record is from RefSeq and is a predicted model, not a curated record. NCBI's taxonomy places the organism in Eukaryota, Metazoa, Arthropoda, Insecta, Hymenoptera, Megachilidae.